UAAUAAACAAUAUGCGGGUCA
This is a non-coding RNA of Caenorhabditis elegans, 21 nucleotides long. The record is from Ensembl. Lineage: Eukaryota; Metazoa; Nematoda; Chromadorea; Rhabditida; Rhabditidae.